Molecule: non-coding RNA, 72 nt
Organism: Ictidomys tridecemlineatus (thirteen-lined ground squirrel)
Lineage: Eukaryota; Metazoa; Chordata; Mammalia; Rodentia; Sciuridae
Source: Rfam
UGGGUUGUAGCUCGGUGGUGGAGCGCUUGCCUCAAACGUGUGGAGCCCUGGGUUCGAUCCUCAGCACCACAU